UACGGGGGGGGCAAGCGUUGUUCGGAAUUACUGGGCGUAAAGAGCUCGUAGGUGGUUUGUCGCGUUGUUCGUGAAAACUCACAACUCAAUUGUGGGCGUGCGGGCGAUACGGGCAGACUGGAGUACUGCAGGGGAGACUGGAAUUCCUGGUGUAGCGGUGGAAUGCGCAGAUAUCAGGAGGAACACCGGUGGCGAAGGCGGGUCUCUGGACAGUUCCUGACACUGAGACACGAAGGCCAGGGGAGCAAACGGG
Molecule: ribosomal RNA, 253 nt
Filed under: uncultured bacterium
Lineage: Bacteria
Description: partial 16S ribosomal RNA
Rfam family: Bacterial small subunit ribosomal RNA
Source: RNAcentral